CUACUUCUACCUGUGUUAUCAU
This 22-nucleotide microRNA is filed under the name Homo sapiens (human). RNAcentral's name for it is "hsa-miR-3682-5p". Lineage: Eukaryota; Metazoa; Chordata; Mammalia; Primates; Hominidae. The record is from miRBase by way of RNAcentral.